This 3420-nucleotide small RNA is filed under the name Pan troglodytes (chimpanzee). Its description in RNAcentral is "processed transcript". Lineage: Eukaryota; Metazoa; Chordata; Mammalia; Primates; Hominidae. The record is from RNAcentral.
UUGGGGCAUCAUCCCCUUCCCCAGCAGCCAAGAGAGAAUGGCUGUGUCUUGUCAGUUGCACCUUAGACUCAGUUCUGUGGUGUCUGGUGUUCUGUAUGACCUUGUGAACAUUUAUUUUCAUUUUCUUGGUCUCAGCCAACUCACUAAUAAAAGGCAGACAAUUAAUCCUGCUGCUCUUCUCCCUCCUGUUCAUAACAUGUGACUGAAUGUGGCUGUCCUUCCUCCCUUCUGCCCCAUUCUCUUCCCUCCCUGGGCUCACGCCAAGGCCUUCUGGGUCAGUACUGUGCUUGCUGCCUGAAAGCCCGGGUGUCUGCCUUGGCCUGACCACUGCCGGGGCCUUUAGAUGCUGGGUCAGACCAAAGCCUGUGUUCCCGCCUUGCAGCACAGCCAAGGCCCAGCUCAGAGGAGGAGCACUGAAGCGUGUGCUUUCAGGAGUGCGCAUGAACAUGCAUUCCCCAGCUGUUCCUUGCAGACUUCUGCUUUGUGCCUCAUUCCCGCACUGGUUCUGCUCAGUCUGGUGAUUGAGUUUGUCUUCUGAACAGUAUUUUAAAAUCAAGGGACACACCUCGAGCUGGCUCCUAUGAUUACAUUUCUGACCUUGGCUGUGCCUCAGUUGUUUCUCAGGGACCAGGAUGGCCCAUCCAUUGGGGUCAGUGAAUGUGCUGCUCCAAGAGCUGGCCCGAGACAGUUUGCCAGCUCCUAGGACCCUCCUCUCCCUGAGACUCACAGGAGGCAGGUGAGGUUCAAGCCUGGGGCUCUGGCUGUCGCAGCCCUCCGCAGGGAAGAGGGCCGAGCUGAGCAGGGGAAGGAGGAGCCCAGGGCUCCCCAUCAGUUAAGGCAGUCUGUGUCCCUCCUUAAGGACUUGUUUCUUAUCUUGAAAAAUAUGGACAGAGGCCUUAUUCAUCCUUCUUUUCAUAUGUAUGGUAUCUGCACAGAUCAUGUUCAUCAACCCCUCAGUUCAACCUAUAAGGGCACGUUUUUGUCUGUGACUCGAUCUGAGGGCCACAUGGGAAGAAUGGAGCUGCCCACCUUCACCCCUGACUCAGCCGGGGUCUCCUGCGGGUCAUCUCCACUUCUGUACCCAAUGCAGGGGCCAUGUUUCAUUCAUCUCUGAGACACCAGACACAACUCAUGUACAAAUGGGCCAAGCCGAAAAUCUGUAGUGAGGACCUUGAGGGGGCAGUGAAGCUGCCUGCCUCUGGUGUGAAGACCCACUGCCCACCCUGCAACCCAGGCUUCUUCAAAACCAACAACAGCACCUGCCAGCCCUGCCCAUAUGGUUCCUACUCCAAUGGCUCAGAUUGUACCCGCUGCCCUGCGGGGACUGAACCUGCUGUGGGAUUUGAAUACAAAUGGUGGAACACGCUGCCCACAAACAUGGAAACGACCGUUCUCAGUGGGAUCAACUUCGAGUACAAGGGCAUGACAGGCUGGGAGGUGGCUGGUGAUCACAUUUACACAGCUGCUGGAGCCUCAGACAAUGACUUCAUGAUUCUCACUCUGGUUGUGCCAGGAUUUAGACCUCCACAGUCGGUGAUGGCAGACACAGAGAAUAAAGAGGUGGCCAGAAUCACAUUUGUCUUUGAGACCCUCUGUACUGUGAACUGUGAGCUCUACUUCAUGGUGGGUGUGAAUUCUAGGACCAACACUCCUGUGGAGACGUGGAAAGGUUCCAAAGGCAAACAGUCCUAUACCUACAUCAUUGAGGAGAACACUACCACGAGCUUCACCUGGGCCUUCCAGAGGACCACUUUUCAUGAGGCAAGCAGGAAGUACACCAAUGAUGUUGCCAAGAUCUACUCCAUCAAUGUCACCAAUGUUAUGAAUGGCGUGGCCUCCUACUGCCGUCCCUGUGCCCUAGAAGCCUCUGAUGUGGGCUCCUCCUGCACCUCUUGUCCUGCUGGUUACUAUAUUGACCGAGAUUCAGGAACCUGCCACUCCUGCCCCUCUAACACAAUUCUGAAAGCCCACCAGCCUUAUGGUGUCCAGGCCUGUGUGCCCUGUGGUCCAGGGACCAAGAACAACAAGAUCCACUCUCUGUGCUACAACGAUUGCACCUUCUCACGCAACACUCCGACCAGGACUUUCAACUACAACUUCUCCGCUUUGGCAAACACUGUCACUCUUGCUGGAGGGCCAAGCUUCACUUCCAAAGGGCUGAAAUACUUCCAUCACUUUACCCUCAGUCUCUGUGGAAACCAGGGUAGGAAAAUGUCUGUGUGCACCGACAAUGUCACUGACCUCCGGAUUCCUGAGGGUGAGUCAGGGUUCUCCAAAUCUAUCACAGCCUACGUCUGCCAGGCAGUCAUCAUCCCCCCAGAGGUGACCGGCUACAAGGCCGGGGUUUCCUCACAGCCUGUCAGCCUUGCUGAUCGACUUAUUGGGGUGACAACAGAUAUGACUCUGGAUGGAAUCACCUCCCCAGCUGAACUUUUCCACCCGGAGUCCUUGGGAAUACCGGACGUGAUCUUCUUUUAUAGGUCCAAUGAUGUGACCCAGUCCUGCAGUUCUGGGAGAUCAACCACCAUCCGCGUCAGGUGCAAUCCACAGAAAACUGUCCCUGGAAGUUUGCUGCUGCCAGGAACGUGCUCGGAUGGGACCUGUGAUGGCUGCAACUUCCACUUCCUGUGGGAGAGCGCGGCUGCUUGCCCGCUCUGCUCAGUGGCUGACUACCAUGCUAUCGUCAGCAGCUGUGUGGCUGGGAUCCAGGUGGGUUUCCCUCUGAUCGGGCACUUCCAUGAGAGAAGGGAAUGGGAGAUCUGAGUUCCUUGUUUUUCUCCCCAACAGAAGACUACUUACGUGUGGCGAGAACCCAAGCUAUGCUCUGGUGGCAUUUCUCUGCCUGAGCAGAGAGUCACCAUCUGCAAAACCAUAGAUUUCUGGCUGAAAGUGGGCAUCUCUGCAGGCACCUGUACUGCCAUCCUACUCACCGUCUUGACCUGCUACUUUUGGAAAAAGAAUCAAAAACUAGAGUACAAGUACUCCAAGCUGGUGAUGAAUGCUACUCUCAAGGACUGUGACCUGCCAGCAGCUGACAGCUGCGCCAUCAUGGAAGGCGAGGAUGUAGAGGACGACCUCAUCUUUACCAGCAAGAAGUCACUCUUUGGGAAGAUCAAAUCAUUUACCUCCAAGAGGACUCCUGAUGGAUUUGACUCAGUGCCGCUGAAGACAUCCUCAGGAGGCCCAGACAUGGACCUGUGAGAGGCACUGCCUGCCUCACCUGCCUCCUCACCUUGCAUAGCACCUUUGCAAGCCUGCGGCGAUUUGGGUGCCAGCAUCCUGCAACACCCACUGCUGGAAAUCUCUUCAUUGUGGCCUUAUCAGAUGUUUGAAUUUCAGAUCUUUUUUUAUAGAGUACCCAAACCCUCCUUUCUGCUUGCCUCAAACCUGCCAAAUAUACCCACACUUUGUUUGUAAAUU